Molecule: ribosomal RNA, 494 nt
Filed under: uncultured bacterium
Lineage: Bacteria
Description: partial 16S ribosomal RNA
Rfam family: Bacterial small subunit ribosomal RNA
Source: RNAcentral
GACGAACGCUGGCGGCGUGCUUAACACAUGCAAGUCGAACGGUGAAGCGCCUUCCUUUUUGGUGGGUGUGGAUGAGUGGCGAACGGGUGAGUAACACGUGAGUAACCUGCCCCCUUCUUCUGGAUAACCGCAUGAAAGUGUGGCUAAUACGGGAUAUUCUGGGUCUGUCGCAUGAUGGGUCUGGGAAAGAUAUUGUUUCGGUGGGGGAUGGGCUCGCGGCCUAUCAGCUUGUUGGUGGGGUGAUGGCCUACCAAGGCGGUGACGGGAAGCCGGCCUGAGAGGGUGGACGGUCACACUGGGACUGAGACACGGCCCAGACUCCUACGGGAGGCAGCAGUGGGGAGUAUUGCACAGUGGGGGCAAGCCUGAUGCAGCGACGCCGCGUGAGGGAUGGAGGCCUUCGGGUUGUGAACCUCUUUCGCCAGUGAAGCAGGCCUGCCUCGUUUGUGGGUGGGUUGACGGUAGCUGGAUAAGAAGCGCCGGCUAACUACGUG